CGGAGGGUGCAAGCGUUAUCCGGAUUCACUGGGUUUAAAGGGUGUGUAGGCGGGCUGUUAAGUCAGUGGUGAAAUCUCCGGGCUCAACCCGGAAACUGCCAUUGAUACUAUCAGUCUUGAAUUUUGUUGAGGUAGGCGGAAUAUAUCAUGUAGCGGUGAAAUGCUUAGAUAUGAUAUAGAACACCGAUUGCGAAGGCAGCUUACUAAGCAAAUAUUGACGCUGAGGCACGAAAGCGUGGGGAUCAAACAGGAUUAGAUACCCUGGUAGUCCACGCCCUAAACGAUGAUUACUCGACAUACGCGAUACACAGUGUGUGUCUGAGCGAAAGCAUUAAGUAAUCCACCUGGGAAGUACGUCCGCAAGGAUG
RNAcentral lists this ribosomal RNA (368 nucleotides) under uncultured organism. RNAcentral describes it as "bacterial SSU rRNA". It matches the Rfam family "Bacterial small subunit ribosomal RNA", at positions 526 to 896 of the family's 1533-position model. The record is from RNAcentral.